UGGGGAAUCUUAGACAAUGGGGGAAACCCUGAUCUAGCCAUGCCGCGUGAGCGAUGAAGGCCUUAGGGUUGUAAAGCUCUUUCAGCUGGGAAGAUAAUGACGGUACCAGCAGAAGAAGCCCCGGCUAACUCCGUGCCAGCAGCCGCGGUAAUACGGAGGGGGCUAGCGUUGUUCGGAAUUACUGGGCGUAAAGCGCACGUAGGCGGAUUAGUCAGUCAGAGGUGAAAUCCCAGGGCUCAACCCUGGAACUGCCUUUGAUACUGCUAGUCUUGAGGUCGAGGAGUAGNGCGGAUGAUCCGAGUGUAGAGGUGAAAUUCGUAGAUAUUCGGAGGAACACCAGUGGCGAAGGCGGCUCACUGGCUCGAUACUGACGCUGAGGUGCGAAAGCGUGGGGAGCAAAACAGGAUUAGAUACCCUGGUAGUCCACGCCGUAAACGAUGAAUGCCAGUCGUCGGGUUGCAUGCAAUUCGGUGACACACCUAACGGAUUAAGCAUUCCGCCUGGGGAGUACGGUCGCAAGAUUAAAACUCAAAGGAAUUGACGGGGUCAUAGCUGUUUCCUG
This 562-nucleotide ribosomal RNA is filed under the name uncultured bacterium. RNAcentral's name for it is "partial 16S ribosomal RNA". It matches the Rfam family "Bacterial small subunit ribosomal RNA", at positions 355 to 1376 of the family's 1533-position model. The record is from RNAcentral.